CAACACAAAUCAAAACUCAAAUAUCUUGGGAAAAAAUAAAGCUACCCCCCCCAGACAUAAUAAGUAGUGGUAGAUUCCAAUUUGGCCACCACCUCUUUAAAACUGCUGUUGUUCCAGACGCCACCCCUUUGUCCCAGCAGCCUGCAUGCCUCACUCCAGGGUGUGGAAUCUGCAACACUGGAGCUGAUGACGCAGUUCAGGAACUACAAAUGAGAGCAGACUAAAGAGUUGAGCCAGGGAGGAGAACUAUUAACCAUGCACGGCGGCUGGAUUUCCGCAUUAUCACGGGAUCACCCAUCACACGAAGAUCCAUCUUGUCAGGGGCAUGUUCAAGCUCAAAACGCCCACAUCUAUAACAACCUUGACCCGGCUGGAACCGUUGCACGCAUCGCCUUCAAGGGAGUGCACCAGCAGCAAAACAGCACGGGGGAGGUUCAUGCAACAACUGGCGGAGGAGCUGAGAGCCGAGUUAUGGAGAGAAAAAGGCCAACAGUACAAGGUCCGGGUCAGCAGCAGCAGCAGCAGCCAGGUUAGGAGAAGCUGCAAUUAGAAUUAACCACAGGAAACCAAACACGUCUGUGGACGUGGUAAGGCAAAGGCAAGGCAAUGUAUUUGUAUAGCGCAUUUCAUACAUGGCAGCAAUGCAAUGCACUUCACACAAAAACUAUGAUAAAAAAAUUAAUAAAUAAAAAUAAUAAAAAUAUGCAACUACAUACAAUUCUAACAAUAGUAGAAAAAGUAAAAUGUAUCUAUAACAACAGCAAAGAAUCCAUUUAAAAAUAAACAGAUAAAUAAAUGCAUAGAUAAAAAGACUUAUAAAGACCAAUGUGCAUUAAUUGCAGAACACAUCUGAGAAAAGCUGGGUCUUUAGCCUUGUUUUAAAAAUGGUUAAAAAUAGUUGGGGUGUUUUUUAUAUUCUCUGGAAGCUGAUUCCAGAGAUGGACGCCAUAGUGGUUAAAAGCUUCCCCCUGUUUUGUUCUGACAGUAGGUUUCAGUAGUAGUUGCUUAUGUUGUGAUCUAAGGGGUCUUGGUUGAGAAUAUUGUUGGAACAUGUCAUGCAGGUAGUUUGGUCCCAUCCCCUUCAGUGACUUAAAAACUAACAGAAGUGCCUUAAAAUCAAUUCUGUAUCUAAUUAAU
Molecule: long non-coding RNA, 1137 nt
Organism: Sander lucioperca (pikeperch)
Lineage: Eukaryota; Metazoa; Chordata; Actinopteri; Perciformes; Percidae
Exons: 3
Source: RefSeq, a predicted model, not a curated record